RNAcentral lists this long non-coding RNA (2097 nucleotides) under Homo sapiens (human). RNAcentral describes it as "HSALNT0343535". Lineage: Eukaryota; Metazoa; Chordata; Mammalia; Primates; Hominidae. The record is from RNAcentral.
CAAAUAUUCCCCAGAAGCCUAAUAUGUGCUCCAUGCUACCACACACAAGGGCAAAUGGAUAGAUGAAGAGGACACCCUUAUUAUCUAAGAGUGUGGGAACUGGACUGGAGCCAAAAAUCCCAACAGCUCAAACUCAGGGCUGGGUCAGAAUCAGGCGGAGAACCCGGAGUGGUGACAGUGAUGGCAGCAGAGCCAGGGUGAGACUGAGAGUGCUCAGACUAAUUUUCUUGGAAGUAGUGGAAAGCUCCGCUAAAAAAGAAACAUGGGUUUGGAUUGAGCAGAAUGUCAAGAGCCCUGAGAACCAACCAAAAAAUGGCAGAUGAGCUGUUUCAGGGGCAACAUUUAGGAAAGUGAAAUCUCUGCUUUGCUUACAAUGACGGGACUGAAAAUGGCAAUUCUGCACAGGAAAGGGACUGUGGGACUCUUCCAAGACAUUUAGGACAUCCAAGUUUCUUUGAAGGUUGGCACAUCAGUCUUUAUUCUUCCACAGGAAGCCAGCAAACUGAGAAGAUGGCAGACUGGUGUCCUAAAGGACCAUCUUCAAAGGUAUGAAUCUCAAGCUUCUUUUUAUAUUGGGUAAAGGGAACAAGGAGGGGGUUAAGGUCAGGAGGUGACAGGUGACCACAGACAUCUGGGUGUCAGCAAGAGUCUGAGGGAGUUUCAUAACUUCUUUUUCUUUGUUCAGGUCACAGCACUCCUACAAGUCUUUAGCAUAACAUUGUUCUUGGGUGUAUGCCCUUCUUAUCUCCUCAGGGGUUAGUUUGGGGAAGGCCCUAUUAUCAUCCUUGCUUUAAAGUUAAGCUAUACACUAAAUUCCUCCCAUAGUUAGCUGGGCCUACAUGCAGGAAUGAGCAAAGGCAGUUUGCUUGGGGGUUAGAAGCAAGAUGGAGUCAACUAUGCUAGAUUUCUCUCACUGCUACAGAACCCCCCUCUGUGCUAUUUUGAGCCAAACCCCCUUGUCUAGUGUGGCAAAGGCAGGGACUCUCACAUGCUAUAUUUGAGCCCCAAGUGAUACUGGUAGUCUGACUCAUCCAUUCACCCUGUCCUCUCCUGUAACCUCCAGCAGGAACCAUUUCUGGACCACAUUUGGGGCCACCAUUGCCCACUCUCCUCUCUGCUUCUCCUCCACCCACAGCUGCCUGAGCCCAUCCCUGUGACCAGUACAUUGACAGAAAUCUUGGAAACACAAACCUUUGGUUCAGGGGCUGACCCCCCACCAGUUGGAGGCUGGAGAUAACCCCAAGAGGUUGAAGCUAAAUGCUCAGGUUCUAGAAUCUGGUGUAUCUUGGCUCAACAUGUUGCCUUAGCCUUCAUAGGGGAGGCAACUUAUCUUUUCCUUCUAUCUAUCUUAGGUUCAUUGUCUGGAACCCCUGUAACAAAAGACAGAUUAAGAAGAAGAAAGCAUACUAAUUUAUUUAAUGUAAGUUAUACAUGAAAAAAAAUGAAGACCUGAAGAAGUAAUUAAACCUGGGUGGGGUUUUGCUGCUGUUUGUGGUGGUGGUGGUGAUGGUGUUUUCGAGGCAGGGUCUCGCUGUAUCGCCCAGCCUGGUCUCUCACAGGAGGGUCUUAGGCCUGCUUCAGGGGAAGGUCAGAAAAGUCUUCCUAGGUUUUAGGACCUGCUGCAGAGGGGAAAGAAGAGGAAUGGCCAGGGGAGGUCAGAGAAACCUUCCUGAACAUGCUGUUUCUCAAAUUCCUUCUGCUUAAACUGUUCGCUAUGCUAAGGUGCCAGAUUUGGGAGUAGCGUGUCCUGAAGACCAUCAACUUUGCAGGUGGUUUGAUGUGGUUACAAGUGCUUAAAAAUGCCCUCUGUUGCCUCAUCUUUGAAAUGGGAUAACAGUGAUACUAAUAGCUCCUGUCCAACAGAGGCAUUCAGUGCCUGGCAUGUCAUUAGUAUUAUAUAUACAUAACAAAUAAUAUCCUGUCUGUUUCUUUGAGGAGUUUCAGACACACUAUCAAGAAAGCCUGCUGUGUUGAAGUGUAAGAGUGCAGCCCCGCUUACAGCGCUUCUUGGUUAGAAAGGCCCAGGCUAGGCUGGGCAUGGUAGCUCAUGCCUGUAAUCCUGGCACUUUGGGAGGCCGAGGCAGGUGGAUCACUUGA